This 484-nucleotide ribosomal RNA is filed under the name uncultured bacterium. RNAcentral describes it as "partial 16S ribosomal RNA". It matches the Rfam family "Bacterial small subunit ribosomal RNA", at positions 29 to 507 of the family's 1533-position model. The record is from RNAcentral.
AUUGAACGCUGGCGGCAUGCUUUACACAUGCAAGUCGAACGGCAGCGCGGGCUUCGGCCUGGCGGCGAGUGGCGAACGGGUGAGUAAUACAUCGGAACGUGCCCAGUAGUGGGGGAUAGCUCGGCGAAAGCCGGAUUAAUACCGCAUACGACCUGAGGGUGAAAGCGGGGGAUCUUCGGACCUCGCGCUAUUGGAGCGGCCGAUGGCAGAUUAGCUAGUUGGUGGGGUAAAGGCCUACCAAGGCGACGAUCUGUAGCUGGUCUGAGAGGACGACCAGCCACACUGGGACUGAGACACGGCCCAGACUCCUACGGGAGGCAGCAGUGGGGAAUUUUGGACAAUGGGCGAAAGCCUGAUCCAGCAAUGCCGCGUGUGUGAUGAAGGCCUUCGGGUUGUAAAGCACUUUUGGCGGGAACGAAAAGGACUGUGCCAAUACCACGGUUUGAUGACGGUACCCGAAGAAUAAGCACCGGCUAACUACGUG